AGUGAACGCUGGCGGCAGGCCUAACACAUGCAAGUCGAGCGGCAGCGGGUCCCCGCGAGGGGAUGCCGGCGAGCGGCGGACGGGUGAGGAACACAUCGGAAUCUGCCUGGUUGUGGAGGAUAACGUAGGGAAACUUACGCUAAUACCGCAUGCGACCCUGAGUCGACGGACUGGGGGUGAAAGUGAGGGACCUUCGGGCCUCACGCGACCAGAUGAGCCGAUGUCGGAUAGCUAGUUGGCGGGGUAACGGCCCGCCAAGGCGACGAUCCGUAGCUGGUCUGAGAGGAUGAUCAGCCACACUGGGACUGAGACACGGCCCAGACUCCUACGGGAGG
This 335-nucleotide ribosomal RNA is filed under the name uncultured bacterium. RNAcentral's name for it is "bacterial SSU rRNA". It matches the Rfam family "Bacterial small subunit ribosomal RNA", at positions 30 to 348 of the family's 1533-position model. The record is from RNAcentral.